GGCUGUUCGAGUUGUCUCAAACUCCUGACCUCAAGCAAUCAGUCCUGCCUUGGCCUCCCAAAGGGCUGAGACGAGAGGCAUAAGCAACCCCACCCAGCUGCCUGUCCUUCCUUACUGUGUUGUCAAGGAUUCAUAGGAGCCCUCACAGACUCUGCCUUACCAAACAUGUAAAAAGUAAACGUGGCUGGAAGAACACACACCAAAAGAUCAACAGCGAUUACUCCGGGGAGUGGUGGGCACUGGCCUGAAUGGAAACCUUUCGUCUGGUGGCUUAACCAUUCCACUAUAAAGGAAGGAAGGCAAGAGGAGAAAACAAGGAGGCAAGGAAGGAAAGAAAAGAAAGAAAAGGAGAUGGAGAAAAAGAAAGAGAAUGAGAAGGAGGAGGAGAGGCUGAGGUGGGAAGAUCACUUGAGGCCAAAGUUCAAGACCAGCCUGGGCAACAUAGCAAGACCUCAUCUCUACAAAAAAUAAAAAAUUAGCCAGGCAUGAUGGUAUGCACCUAUAGUCCUAGCUACUCAGGAGGCUGAGGCAGGAGAAUCGCUUGAGCCCAGUAAUUAGAAUGCAACAAGGUAGAAUUGUGCCACUAUGCUCCAGCCUGGGCAACAGGGUAGGACCCUGUUUAAAAAAAAAAAAAAAAAUAGAGGAAGGGACAAAAAAGAGGAGAAAUAAAAAUAAAACAAAUAUUUAAUGCAUUAUUUUACAUUAAUGUAAACAAAUCCAUGAUGAACAAACUAUCAAAAUGUUCAAUGAAGACAGGCUCAAUAUCACUGAUUUUUCCUUUUGUCUGAGGUUCCAGUAUGGCUCAGCAUGACACGGACACCCACAUUCAUUUAUGGGAGCGUGCUGGCUUUGUUUGUUCUUACUAAGAUUUGAGAAUCCGUGGGCCCAGGUGAAUAUCUGGAGCUGGUGUGUAGUAGCUAGCGAGAGCCUAUUCAAUGCAACUCUUUCCAACUCCAUGUUAAGAACAUGAUAUUGAUAUCAAACAUGGUGAGAGUGUUUAAUCAGGGAAAUUGGCUAAGGCUACAAAUUAGGGGCUUCCUCCCCAACCCC
RNAcentral lists this long non-coding RNA (1050 nucleotides) under Homo sapiens (human). RNAcentral's name for it is "HSALNT0209309". Lineage: Eukaryota; Metazoa; Chordata; Mammalia; Primates; Hominidae. The record is from RNAcentral.